UAGGGAAUCUUCCGCAAUGGGCGAAAGCUUGACGGAGCAACGCCGCGUGAGUGAUGAAGGUCUUCGGAUCGUAAAACUCUGUUAUUAGGGAAGAACAAAUGUGUAAGUAACUAUGCACGUCUUGACAGUACCUAAUCAGAAAGCCACGGCUAACUACGUGCCAGCAGCCGCGGUAAUACGUAGGUGGCAAGCGUUAUCCGGAAUUAUUGGGCGUAAAGCGCGCGUAGGCGGUUUUUUAAGUCUGAUGUGAAAGCCCACGGCUCAACCGUGGAGGGUCAUUGGAAACUGGAAAACUUGAGUGCAGAAGAGGAAAGUGGAAUUCCAUGUGUAGCGGUGAAAUGCGCAGAGAUAUGGAGGAACACCAGUGGCGAAGGCGACUUUCUGGUCUGUAACUGACGCUGAUGUGCGAAAGCGUGGGGAUCAAACAGG
This 429-nucleotide ribosomal RNA is filed under the name Actinomycetes bacterium. RNAcentral's name for it is "Actinobacteria bacterium partial 16S ribosomal RNA". It matches the Rfam family "Bacterial small subunit ribosomal RNA", at positions 355 to 776 of the family's 1533-position model. The record is from RNAcentral. Lineage: Bacteria; Bacillati; Actinomycetota; Actinomycetes.